GCUUUAUUUUUGGGUAGGUUUGGGACAGACUGCUCAAAGUCUGACUACACUUCCGGGUCUUAAGGCCUCUGUCAACUGCACGCACUGGAUUCCAAGCAUCAAGUUUGCUUUUAAAGGUGCUUUCUUUCUAUAUAUGUUUUUUGGCUGUUCUUUCGUUCUUCGAAGCGGAAAUUAAACUUUAUGAUUAAUGUGUUCUUUGGUUGCUGAGAAAUGUUAAGAGCUGUAGAAGGACAAUAAAGUUAGAGUUUUUUUGCUCUCUCUUAACCAUUUAGAUUUGCCAAUUUGCCAAAUAAAACAAUUACACCGGCAUCAUCUUCUUUCCGGGGACACUGAUGGUGUUAUUAUUCCGUGGGAGUUAAACUCUUGCAGAUCAAAAGUGGAGGCAAGUGUUACAGUUGCCCACAAUCACACAAGAAGGGGUUACAUGCAUAGUUGGAAUUAUUAUUUCUGAAACAGAUUCAAUCUUUGCAUCUACUUCUUCUGAUGGUGAAAGUAAAUUGUCAUGUCAGGAGACCCUAUCUGUUGGUUCUAAGCCUAUGGUGGCUCUUUCGCUGGCAGAAUUGAAUGGAAAUUCUGGCGCGGGUCCUUGCCAUGGGAGGACUGGAGAACAUGAUUCAUCUUUACUGCGGGGAGAGGACAGGAAGGGUUUCCAACUCUAAAUUUCUAAACCUACCCAUU
Long non-coding RNA from Populus euphratica (Euphrates poplar), 678 nucleotides. RefSeq lists it as uncharacterized. NCBI's taxonomy places the organism in Eukaryota, Viridiplantae, Streptophyta, Magnoliopsida, Malpighiales, Salicaceae. The record is from RefSeq and is a predicted model, not a curated record. The transcript is spliced from 3 exons.